RNAcentral lists this ribosomal RNA (1344 nucleotides) under uncultured bacterium. RNAcentral describes it as "bacterial SSU rRNA". It matches the Rfam family "Bacterial small subunit ribosomal RNA", at positions 28 to 1381 of the family's 1533-position model. The record is from RNAcentral.
GACGAACGCUGGCGGCGUGCUUAACACAUGCAAGUCGAACGAUGAAGCCCAGCUUGCUGGGUGGAUUAGUGGCGAACGGGUGAGUAACACGUGAGUAACCUGCCCUUGACUCUGGGAUAAGCGCUGGAAACGGCGUCUAAUACCGGAUACGACCUGCCCCGGCAUCGGGUGCGGGUGGAAAGUUUUUCGGUCAAGGAUGGACUCGCGGCCUAUCAGGUAGUUGGUGAGGUAAUGGCUCACCAAGCCGGCGACGGGUAGCCGGCCUGAGAGGGUGACCGGCCACACUGGGACUGAGACACGGCCCAGACUCCUACGGGAGGCAGCAGUGGGGAAUAUUGCACAAUGGGCGAAAGCCUGAUGCAGCAACGCCGCGUGGGGGAUGACGGCCUUCGGGUUGUAAACCUCUUUUAGUAGGGAAGAAGGGCUUCGGCUUGACGGUACCUGCAGAAAAAGCACCGGCUAACUACGUGCCAGCAGCCGCGGUAAUACGUAGGGUGCAAGCGUUGUCCGGAAUUAUUGGGCGUAAAGAGCUCGUAGGCGGUUUGUCGCGUCUGCUGUGAAAACCCGAGGCUCAACCUCGGGCCUGCAGUGGGUACGGGCAGACUAGAGUGCGGUAGGGGAGAAUGGAAUUCCUGGUGUAGCGGUGGAAUGCGCAGAUAUCAGGAGGAACACCGAUGGCGAAGGCAGUUCUCUGGGCCGUUACUGACGCUGAGGAGCGAAAGCGUGGGGAGCGAACAGGAUUAGAUACCCUGGUAGUCCACGCCGUAAACGUUGGGAACUAGAUGUGGGGACCUUUCCACGGUCUCCGUGUCGCAGCUAACGCAUUAAGUUCCCCGCCUGGGGAGUACGGCCGCAAGGCUAAAACUCAAAGGAAUUGACGGGGGCCCGCACAAGCGGCGGAGCAUGCGGAUUAAUUCGAUGCAACGCGAAGAACCUUACCAAGGCUUGACAUAUACCGGAAACUUCCAGAAAUGGUUGCCCCGCAAGGUCGGUAUACAGGUGGUGCAUGGUUGUCGUCAGCUCGUGUCGUGAGAUGUUGGGUUAAGUCCCGCAACGAGCGCAACCCUCGUUCUAUGUUGCCAGCACGUCAUGGUGGGAACUCAUAGGAGACUGCCGGGGUCAACUCGGAGGAAGGUGGGGAUGACGUCAAAUCAUCAUGCCCCUUAUGUCUUGGGCUUCACGCAUGCUACAAUGGCCGGUACAAAGGGCUGCGAUACCGUAAGGUGGAGCGAAUCCCAAAAAGCCGGUCUCAGUUCGGAUUGAGGUCUGCAACUCGACCUCAUGAAGUCGGAGUCGCUAGUAAUCGCAGAUCAGCAACGCUGCGGUGAAUACGUUCCCGGGCCU